This 315-nucleotide unclassified non-coding RNA is filed under the name Hevea brasiliensis (rubber tree). The record is from RNAcentral. Lineage: Eukaryota; Viridiplantae; Streptophyta; Magnoliopsida; Malpighiales; Euphorbiaceae.
AUACAACUGAGCCAAGCAGCUGGAUCGACAUUUCAUUUAGCCCUAAUGUGAAGGAGGCUAAAAAACUCAUAUUGAUCUUUUCAAUUUGAAGGCUGUACUAAAACAUCAUCCAUGACAGCAUGACCUAUCGUUUUAUAAGCACAAAUAAAGCAGGGAAAACACAGGUGUUAUUAAUCAAAUUCUAGCUGUUAACAUUGCAAACACUAAUCAUUCUUCAGCUCCAAUUCAAACGCUUAUGGAGAGUAACAAAUUCAUAAAGCUGAGAAGGUAAGCGAAUAAAAGGAGAAAGCAAUAAAGAUCAUGUAGAUACCCAAA